This 253-nucleotide ribosomal RNA is filed under the name uncultured bacterium. Its description in RNAcentral is "partial 16S ribosomal RNA". It matches the Rfam family "Bacterial small subunit ribosomal RNA", at positions 524 to 776 of the family's 1533-position model. The record is from RNAcentral.
UACGGGGGGGGUAAGCGUUGUUCGGAAUUACUGGGCGUAAAGGGCGCGUAGGCGGCGUGUCAAGUCAGGCGUGAAAGCCCCGGGCUCAACCUGGGAACCGCGCUUGAGACUGGCAUGCUCGAGUUCGGGAGAGGAUGGUGGAAUUCCCAGUGUAGAGGUGAAAUUCGUAGAUAUUGGGAAGAACACCGAUGGCGAAGGCAGCCAUCUGGACCGACACUGACGCUGAGGCGCGAAAGCGUGGGGAGCAAACAGG